This 858-nucleotide ribosomal RNA is filed under the name Salmonella enterica subsp. enterica. RNAcentral describes it as "bacterial LSU rRNA". It matches the Rfam family "Bacterial large subunit ribosomal RNA", at positions 1 to 890 of the family's 2925-position model. The record is from RNAcentral. Lineage: Bacteria; Pseudomonadati; Pseudomonadota; Gammaproteobacteria; Enterobacterales; Enterobacteriaceae.
GGGUUGUGAGGUUAAGCGACUAAGCGUACACGGUGGAUGCCCUGGCAGUCAGAGGCGAUGAAGGGCGUGCUAAUCUGCGAUAAGCGCCGGUAAGGUGAUAUGAACCGUUAUAACCGGCGAUACCCGAAUGGGGAAACCCAGUGUGAUUCGUCACACUAUCAUUAACUGAAUCCAUAGGUUAAUGAGGCGAACCGGGGGAACUGAAACAUCUAAGUACCCCGAGGAAAAGAAAUCAACCGAGAUUCCCCCAGUAGCGGCGAGCGAACGGGGAGGAGCCCAGAGCCUGAAUCAGCAUGUGUGUUAGUGGAAGCGUCUGGAAAGGCGCGCGAUACAGGGUGACAGCCCCGUACACAAAAGCGCAUGUGCUGUGAGCUCGAUGAGUAGGGCGGGACACGUGGUAUCCUGUCUGAAUAUGGGGGGACCAUCCUCCAAGGCUAAAUACUCCUGACUGACCGAUAGUGAACCAGUACCGUGAGGGAAAGGCGAAAAGAACCCCGGCGAGGGGAGUGAAAAAGAACCUGAAACCGUGUACGUACAAGCAGUGGGAGCACAGGUUUACCUGUGUGACUGCGUACCUUUUGUAUAAUGGGUCAGCGACUUAUAUUCUGUAGCAAGGUUAACCGAAUAGGGGAGCCGGAGGGAAACCGAGUCUUAACCGGGCGUUAAGUUGCAGGGUAUAGACCCGAAACCCGGUGAUCUAGCCAUGGGCAGGUUGAAGGUUGGGUAACACUAACUGGAGGACCGAACCGACUAAUGUUGAAAAAUUAGCGGAUGACCUGUGGCUGGGGGUGAAAGGCCAAUCAAACCGGGAGAUAGCUGGUUCUCCCCGAAAGCUAUUUAGGUAGCGCCUCGUGAAUU